AGUUGUUGUGGUUAAAAAGCUCGUAGUUGAACCUUGGGCCUGGCUGGCCGGUCCGCCUCACCGCGUGCACUGGUCCGGCCGGGUCUUUCCCUCUGUGGAACCCCAUGCCCUUCACUGGGCGUGGCGGGGAAACAGGACGUUUACUUUGAAAAAAUUAGAGUGCUCCAGGCAGGCCUAUGCUCGAAUACCUUAGCAUGGAAUAAUGAAAUAGGACGCGCGGUUCUAUUUUGUUGGUUUCUAGGACCGCCGUAAUGAUUAAUAGGGACAGUCGGGGGCAUCAGUAUUCAAUAGUCAGAGGUGAAAUUCUUGGAUCUAUUGAAGACUAACUACUGCGAAAGCAUUUGUCAAGGAUGUUUUCAUUAAUCAGGAACGAAAGUUAGGGGAUCGAAGACGAUCAGAUACCGUCGUAGUCUUAACCAUAAACUAUGCCGACUAGGGAUCGGACGAUGUUAUUUUUUGACUCGUUCGGCACCUUACGAGAAAUCAAAGUGCUUGGGCUCCAGGGGGAGUAUGGUCGCAAGGCUGAAACUUAAAGAAAUUGACGGAAGGGCACCACCAGGGGUGGAGCCUGCGGCUUAAUUUG
This 583-nucleotide ribosomal RNA is filed under the name Ophiocordyceps sp. RNAcentral's name for it is "SSU rRNA". It matches the Rfam family "Eukaryotic small subunit ribosomal RNA", at positions 608 to 1197 of the family's 1831-position model. Lineage: Eukaryota; Fungi; Ascomycota; Sordariomycetes; Hypocreales; Ophiocordycipitaceae. The record is from RNAcentral.